GGUAUAGACCCGAAACCCGGUGAUCUAGCCAUGGGCAGGUUGAAGGUUGGGUAACACUAACUGGAGGACCGAACCGACUAAUGUUGAAAAAUUAGCGGAUGACCUGUGGCUGGGGGUGAAAGGCCAAUCAAACCGGGAGAUAGCUGGUUCUCCCCGAAAGCUAUUUAGGUAGCGCCUCGUGAAUUCAUCUCCGGGGGUAGAGCACUGUUUCGGCUAGGGGGCCAUCCCGGCUUACCAACCCGAUGCAAACUGCGAAUACCGGAGAAUGUUAUCACGGGAGACACACGGCGGGUGCUAACGUCCGUCGUGAAGAGGGAAACAACCCAGACCGCCAGCUAAGGUCCCAAAGUCAUGGUUAAGUGGGAAACGAUGUGGGAAGGCCCAGACAGCCAGGAUGUUGGCUUAGAAGCAGCCAUCAUUUAAAGAAAGCGUAAUAGCUCACUGGUCGAGUCGGCCUGCGCGGAAGAUGUAACGGGGCUAAACCAUGCACCGAAGCUGCGGCAGCGAACGUAUCACCCAAGACAACUUUACGGAGUUGACGAUUGACGGAGCGAAGCGACGUCAAAGCGUUCAUUAAAGUCGAGUUGGCUUAGGGAUACGUUCGUUGGGUAGGGGAGCGUUCUGUAAGCCUGUGAAGGUGUGUCGUGAGGCAUGCUGGAGGUAUCAGAAGUGCGAAUGCUGACAUAAGUAACGAUAAAGCGGGUGAAAAGCCCGCUCGCCGGAAGACCAAGGGUUCCUGUCCAACGUUAAUCGGGGCAGGGUGAGUCGACCCCUAAGGCGAGGCCGAAAGGCGUAGUCGAUGGGAAACGGGUUAAUAUUCCCGUACUUGGUGUUACUGCGAAGGGGGGACGGAGAAGGCUAUGUUGGCCGGGCGACGGUUGUCCCGGUUUAAGCGUGUAGGUGUGUGUUCCAGGUAAAUCCGGUU
RNAcentral lists this ribosomal RNA (925 nucleotides) under Salmonella enterica. Its description in RNAcentral is "partial 23S ribosomal RNA". It matches the Rfam family "Bacterial large subunit ribosomal RNA", at positions 706 to 1547 of the family's 2925-position model. The record is from RNAcentral. RNAcentral also lists the same sequence under 1 other name. Lineage: Bacteria; Pseudomonadati; Pseudomonadota; Gammaproteobacteria; Enterobacterales; Enterobacteriaceae.